GGGGCAGUAGCUCAAAUGGGAGAGCGCCAGACUGAAGACUCCAGGACUCGAACGAGUCCACUGAUAUCUGGAGGCACUCGGUUCGAUCCCGAGCUGCCCCA
This 101-nucleotide transfer RNA is filed under the name Niveomyces insectorum RCEF 264. RNAcentral's name for it is "Sporothrix insectorum RCEF 264 tRNA". It matches the Rfam family "tRNA". Rfam says of the family: Transfer RNA (tRNA) molecules are approximately 80 nucleotides in length. Lineage: Eukaryota; Fungi; Ascomycota; Sordariomycetes; Hypocreales; Cordycipitaceae. The record is from Rfam by way of RNAcentral.